GAUGAAGACGUAGCGAAAUGCGAUAAGUAAUGUGAAUUGCAGAAUUCAGUGAAUCAUCGAAUCUUUGAACGCACAUUGCGCCCGCCAGUAUUCUGGCGGGCAUGCCUGUUCGAGCGACAUUACAACCCUCAGGCCCCCGGGCCUGGCGUUGGGGAUCGGCGGAAGCCCCCUGCGGGCACAACGCCGUCCCCCAAAUACAGUGGCGGUCCCGCCGCAGCUUCCAUUGCGUAGUAGCUAACACCUCGCAACUGGAGAGCGGCGCGGCCACGCCGUAAAACACCCAACUUCUGAAUGUUGACCUCGAAUCAGGUAGGAAUACCCGCUGAACUUAAGCAUAUCAAUAAGCGGAGGA
RNAcentral lists this unclassified non-coding RNA (352 nucleotides) under soil metagenome. RNAcentral describes it as "partial contains 5.8S ribosomal RNA, internal transcribed spacer 2, and large subunit ribosomal RNA". The stretch from base 1 to 119 matches the Rfam family "5.8S ribosomal RNA", at positions 35 to 154 of the family's 154-position model. The record is from RNAcentral.